Melozone crissalis (California towhee) is the source of this 1058-nucleotide long non-coding RNA. RefSeq lists it as uncharacterized. The transcript is spliced from 2 exons. NCBI's taxonomy places the organism in Eukaryota, Metazoa, Chordata, Aves, Passeriformes, Passerellidae. The record is from RefSeq and is a predicted model, not a curated record.
UUUCAUUCUGUUUGUGCUGAAGGAGCAGGACAUCACAAACACAGUGACUCAUUUAACUAUGGACACAGUUCAUCUUUUAAUGCACUUGUGAUUCAGGAGCCUGGGAAAGCUUCUGAGGCAAGUUCCACCUUAAAAACACAAUAUCAGAAUGCCACUGGAUUCCAAACAUCCUUUAUUUUAUAUCUGCUGCCAUAGACAGUAAUUGAACAGUGCUGUCAUCAGUGUCAGUGGGAAAAGGAACGUGGGUCUUCUUCUCCUGAAGAUGUCAUGUACAUUAAGAAGCCAGUCCAAAAUCCUGGAGUUAAGUACAAAAAGCAACUGUUUGAAUUAUAAAAUACUGUAUAUACAGAUAUAAAAACGUCUCAGAAAGUGUCCCACAAAGUUUCUGAACUCUCAAGAGCAAGUCUUCAGCAGGGUAAGUAGGUUGUUGUCUUCAAAGGUGAGCAUCAGUUCAUUAGAGCAGAAUGUCUCAAUCUUUAUCUUCCUAUAUUACAGGUGACAGACUCUGAUUUUCAUCCCAGCCAGGGAUAACGUGGUGAUCCUAGUAUUGAAGUGUUUGUUUCCUGGAGCUAUUAAUUUUACAAGCACACUCUCUAUAUAUAAAAAUGAAAUUUCAAAGAAAUUUAUACAACAGCUAGACUUUAUAAAAAUAUAGAUCUAUAAUUUUACACCAGGAAUUAUCCAAGCUGGAGCUCUUCAGGAAGAACUGGCUUUCAGCUUGGACAGCAGCAUCUCAUUCUUACGGCAUUCCUGUUAACAGAGAGCAAACAAGUGAGGAGGAAUUGCUCAAACUCUGCCACCUGUAUCUCCACAUCAACAGAACCAAACCCUUUCUUUCAGUUUGAAACAUCUCCACAAUCCAAAGCAGCCUGGAGUGAGUGAUGAGGUGAAGAUAAUAUUGAUUCAUCCAUAAUGUUAUUCCAAUGGCAAUAUUAAUUAAAUUUAUGACAUGCAAGCCAGAAGGAACACUGCUUGACCACCCACCUGAAGUUUCCGGAUGUAGCUAAAGCAAAUUUUGCUUUUUACUUAUAAGUAGAAUAAAUCUGAAAUGGGCCUUA